Molecule: ribosomal RNA, 487 nt
Filed under: uncultured bacterium
Lineage: Bacteria
Description: bacterial SSU rRNA
Rfam family: Bacterial small subunit ribosomal RNA
Source: RNAcentral
GAUGAACGCUAGCGGCAGGCUUAAUACAUGCAAGUCAAGGGGGUAGCAAUACAACCGGCGCACGGGUGAGUAACACGUACACAACAUACCAUAUACUGAGGUAUAGCUUCGGGAAACUGAAGGUAAUCCCUCAUAGUAUUGUGAAAGGGCAUCUUUUUACAAUUAAAGUUUCGACGGUAUAUGAUUGGUGUGCGUUUGAUUAGCUAGUUGGUAGGGUAACGGCCUACCAAGGCAACGAUCAAUAGCUGGCGUGAGAGCGCGACCAGCCACACUGGAACUGAGACACGGUCCAGACUCCUACGGGAGGCAGCAGUAGGGAAUAUUGGACAAUGGGCGAAAGCCUGAUCCAGCCAUGCCGCGUGAUAGAUGAAGGCCCUCUGGGUUGUAAAUAUCUUUUAUCUGGGAAGAAACACUUCUAUUCUUAGAAGCUUGACGGUACCAGAGGAAUAAGCACCGGCUAACUCCGUGCCAGCAGCCGCGGUAAAGU